UAUGUAGCCAUUUCUCUCCUCAAAUCUCUACUCGUGCAGAAGCUUCCUCUUUUGGUCAAAGAGAAGAGGAAAUCACAACAGCAGCUUUAAAAAAUACUAGACCAUUUUGUCAUGGAGCAACGUUGGCUGUAGGAAAGAGAGAGAGAGAGGAGAGAGGAGAGAGGAGAGAGAAGAGAGAGACUGGCUGUGUCUGGAAUGGGAGGCAAGAAAGCUCGAAUUCGCAGGAGAUUUCCUGCAAGAAAGCCACCCAAAACGGAGACAAAAACCCGAUCCCGAGAUCCCAAAAAAACCAACCCAACCUUCUUUUCUCAUCGAGCUAAUACAACCAAACAAAUCAUUUUAUAUUAUUAUUA
Molecule: long non-coding RNA, 353 nt
Organism: Magnolia sinica
Lineage: Eukaryota; Viridiplantae; Streptophyta; Magnoliopsida; Magnoliales; Magnoliaceae
Exons: 2
Source: RefSeq, a predicted model, not a curated record